CAUGCAGUCGAACGGUGAAGCAGAGCUUGCUCUGUGGAUCAGUGGCGAACGGGUGAGUAACACGUGAGCAACCUGCCCUGGACUCUGGGAUAAGCGCUGGAAACGGCGUCUAAUACUGGAUAUGAGAUGCGAUCGCAUGGUCGUGUUUGGAAAGAUUUUUCGGUCUGGGAUGGGCUCGCGGCCUAUCAGCUUGUUGGUGAGGUAAUGGCUCACCAAGGCGUCGACGGGUAGCCGGCCUGAGAGGGUGACCGGCCACACUGGGACUGAGACACGGCCCAGACUCCUACGGGAGGCAGCAGUGGGGAAUAUUGCACAAUGGGCGAAAGCCUGAUGCAGCAACGCCGCGUGAGGGAUGACGGCCUUCGGGUUGUAAACCUCUUUUGGUAGGGAAGAAGCCUUCGGGUGACGGUACCUGCAGAAAAAGCGCCGGCUAACUACGUGCCAGCAGCCGCGGUAAUACGUAGGGCGCAAGCGUUAUCCGGAAUUAUUGGGCGUAAAGAGCUCGUAGGCGGUCUGUCGCGUCUGCUGUGAAAUCCCGAGGCUCAACCUCGGGCUUGCAGUGGGUACGGGCAGACUAGAGUGCGGUAGGGGAGAUUGGAAUUCCUGGUGUAGCGGUGGAAUGCGCAGAUAUCAGGAGGAACACCGAUGGCGAAGGCAGAUCUCUGGGCCGUUACUGACGCUGAGGAGCGAAAGGGUGGGGAGCAAACAGGCUUAGAUACCCUGGUAGUCCACCCCGUAAACGUUGGGAACUAGUUGUGGGGUCCUUUCCACGGAUUCCGUGACGUAGCUAACGCAUUAAGUUCCCCGCCUGGGGGAGUACGGCCGCAAGGCUAAACUCAAAGGAAUGACGGGGA
RNAcentral lists this ribosomal RNA (854 nucleotides) under Microbacterium sp. RNAcentral's name for it is "bacterial SSU rRNA". It matches the Rfam family "Bacterial small subunit ribosomal RNA", at positions 54 to 919 of the family's 1533-position model. The record is from RNAcentral. Lineage: Bacteria; Bacillati; Actinomycetota; Actinomycetes; Micrococcales; Microbacteriaceae.